RNAcentral lists this unclassified non-coding RNA (186 nucleotides) under Glomeraceae sp. RNAcentral's name for it is "partial contains 5.8S ribosomal RNA and internal transcribed spacer 2". The stretch from base 1 to 65 matches the Rfam family "5.8S ribosomal RNA", at positions 84 to 154 of the family's 154-position model. The record is from RNAcentral. Lineage: Eukaryota; Fungi; Glomeromycota; Glomeromycetes; Glomerales; Glomeraceae.
GUGAAUCAUCAAAUCUUUGAACGCAAAUUGCACUCUCCUCGGAGAGUAUGCCUGUUUGAGGGUCAGCCUAUAAAAAAUCGACAUCGUUGCUGUUUCGCGGUGGCGUUCGUCGGAAAUUGGGUCAUCUUAAAUCUUUUGGGUUUAUGCGCGUUUAAAUUUUUUUUUUGUGUCUAUAUACGUUUUUCA